AUGCUAAGAGAAUGGAAUUCCAGGGAAAAACUUUAUUUAAACUAAUAAUUAAAGUUUUUUUAAUUUGUGCAGAAACAAUUAUAUAAAUUAAGGACAAGAAGACCCUAUGAAUUUAUAAAACUUAUUUUUUUUUAUUAAUAUAACUAAUAAGUUUUAGCUGGGGCGGCAAGAAAAUAUAAAAAACUUUUCAUUAUUAAAAUGACCCAUUAUUAAUGAUUAAAUGAAAAAAUACUCUAGGGAUAACAGCGUUAUAUUUUUUGAUAGAUCAUAUUGACAAAAAAGUUUGCGACCUCGAUGUUGGAUUAGGAUACUUUUUUAAUGCAGAUAU
Molecule: ribosomal RNA, 328 nt
Filed under: Rhipicephalus appendiculatus
Lineage: Eukaryota; Metazoa; Arthropoda; Arachnida; Ixodida; Ixodidae
Description: partial large subunit ribosomal RNA
Source: RNAcentral